UCCAUGAAGCUGGAUUCGCUAGUAAUCGCGCAUCAGCCAUGGCGCGGUGAAUACGUUCCCGGGCCUUGUACACACCGCCCGUCAAGCCAUGGAAGCCGGGAGUGCCUGAAGUGUGCAACCGCAAGGAGCGCCCUAAGGUAAAACUGGUGACUGGGGCUAAGUCGUAACAAGGUACC
Molecule: ribosomal RNA, 176 nt
Filed under: uncultured bacterium
Lineage: Bacteria
Description: partial 16S ribosomal RNA
Rfam family: Bacterial small subunit ribosomal RNA
Source: RNAcentral